AUGGAUUUGUCUUGCCUUGCUAGAGAGUUUUCCUGGGAGGAGAUUGUUCAAGCUAUCAAACACUCACCAAAUAAUCGCAGCCCUGGUCCGGAUGGGUUCACAAACGAGUUCUACAAGGCUUUCCACAACGUCAUCAGGGAAGACCUGCAACUUUUCUUUAAUCAAUUUUACCACAACCAAGUGGACCUUUCUAGCACCAAUCAAGCACAUAUUUCCCUCUUACCUAAGAAGGACACCCCCUUGGAGUUGUGUGAUUUCAGGCCUAUUUCUAUCGUGCAUAGUGUGCCUAAACUGGCGGGCAAGGUCCUUGCUCGGUGUUUACAACUACAAAUACCCUCUCUGGUUCACUCCUUGCAAUCAGGUUUCAUCAAGGGCCGGUCUAUCAUUGAGAACUUUGCUAUGGCUGCUGACAUGGUUCAAACUGCUCAUAAGAGGAAGAUGUCAGUCAUGGUACUUAAAUUGGAUUUUCAGUAG
This 474-nucleotide ribosomal RNA is filed under the name Triticum aestivum (bread wheat). RNAcentral describes it as "partial small subunit ribosomal RNA". Lineage: Eukaryota; Viridiplantae; Streptophyta; Magnoliopsida; Poales; Poaceae. The record is from RNAcentral.